UGCUCGUAGCGGCGAGUGAGCGGCAGAGCUCAGAUUUGAAAUCGUGCUUUGCGGCACGAGUUGUAGAUUGCAGGUUGGAGUCUGUGUGGAAGGCGGUGUCCAAGUCCCUUGGAACAGGGCGCCCAGGAGGGUGAGAGCCCCGUGGGAUGCCGGCGGAAGCAGUGAGGCCCUUCUGACGAGUCGAGUUGUUUGGGAAUGCAGCUCCAAGCGGGUGGUAAAUUCCAUCUAAGGCUAAAUACUGGCGAGAGACCGAUAGCGAACAAGUACUGUGAAGGAAAGAUGAAAAGCACUUUGAAAAGAGAGUGAAACAGCACGUGAAAUUGUUGAAAGGGAAGGGUAUUGCGCCCGACAUGGGGAUUGCGCACCGCUGCCUCUCGUGGGCGGCGCUCUGGGCUUUCCCUGGGCCAGCAUCGGUUCUUGCUGCAGGAGAAGGGGUUCUGGAACGUGGCUCUUCGGAGUGUUAUAGCCAGGGCCAGAUGCUGCGUGCGGGGACCGAGGACUGCGGCCGUGUAGGUCACGGAUGCUGGCAGAACGGCGCAACAC
This 543-nucleotide ribosomal RNA is filed under the name Pichia kudriavzevii. RNAcentral's name for it is "eukaryotic LSU rRNA". It matches the Rfam family "Eukaryotic large subunit ribosomal RNA", at positions 78 to 645 of the family's 3401-position model. The record is from RNAcentral. Lineage: Eukaryota; Fungi; Ascomycota; Pichiomycetes; Pichiales; Pichiaceae.